CGAGCCGGCCGGGCGGCCGCGUGGGGGUCUUCGGACCCUCCCGAGGAACGUCCGGGCUCCACACGGCAGGGUGGUGGCUAACGGCCACCCGGGGUGACCCGCGGGACAGUGCCACAGAAAACAGACCGCCGGGGGCCGCGAGGCUUCCGGUAAGGGUGAAACGGUGGUGUAAGAGACCACCAGCCUCCGAGGCGACUCGGAGGGCUAGGUAAACCCCACCCGGAGCAAGGUCAAGAGGGGCCGUCAUCUCUUCGGAGACGGUGGCCCUGCGCGGACGUUCGAGGGCAGCCGGCCCGAGUCCGCGGGUAGACCGCAUGAGUCUGUCGGCAACGGCAGACCUAGAUGGAUGGCCGCCUCCCCGAGGGCCGCGAGGUCCCCGGGAGACAGAACCCGGCGUACAGGCCGACUCGUCCG
RNAcentral lists this RNase P RNA (414 nucleotides) under Streptomyces varsoviensis. RNAcentral's name for it is "bacterial RNase P". It matches the Rfam family "Bacterial RNase P class A". From Rfam's summary of the family: Ribonuclease P (RNase P) is a ubiquitous endoribonuclease, found in archaea, bacteria and eukarya as well as chloroplasts and mitochondria. Its best characterised activity is the generation of mature 5'-ends of tRNAs by cleaving the 5'-leader elements of precursor-tRNAs. The record is from RNAcentral. Lineage: Bacteria; Bacillati; Actinomycetota; Actinomycetes; Kitasatosporales; Streptomycetaceae.